GAUGAACGCUGGCGGCGUGCCUAAUACAUGCAAGUCGAGCGAACGGACGAGAAGCUUGCUUUUCUGAUGUUAGCGGCGGACGGGUGAGUAACACGUGGAUAACCUACCUAUAAGACUGGGAUAACUUCGGGAAACCGGAGCUAAUAUCGGAUAAUAUUUUGAACCGCAUGGUUCAAAAGUGAAAGACGGUCUUGCUGUCACUUAUAGAUGGAUCCGCGCUGCAUUAGCUAGUUGGUAAGGUAACGGCUUACCAAGGCAACGAUGCAUAGCCGACCUGAGAGGGUGAUCGGCCACACUGGAACUGAGACACGGUCCAGACUCCUACGGGAGGCAGCAGUAGGGAAUCUUCCGCAAUGGGCGAAAGCCUGACGGAGCAACGCCGCGUGAGUGAUGAAGGUCUUCGGAUCGUAAAACUCUGUUAUUAGGGAAGAACAUAUGUGUAAGUAACUGUGCACAUCUUGACGGUACCUAAUCAAAAAGCCACGGCUAACUACGUG
Molecule: ribosomal RNA, 497 nt
Filed under: uncultured bacterium
Lineage: Bacteria
Description: partial 16S ribosomal RNA
Rfam family: Bacterial small subunit ribosomal RNA
Source: RNAcentral